CAAGGAAUAGUUUAUGUAGAAUUCCAGCUUUGGGUGUUGGUGGUGAGGUUU
This 51-nucleotide transfer RNA is filed under the name Delphinus delphis (saddleback dolphin). RNAcentral's name for it is "partial tRNA-Pro". The record is from RNAcentral. Lineage: Eukaryota; Metazoa; Chordata; Mammalia; Artiodactyla; Delphinidae.